This 793-nucleotide unclassified non-coding RNA is filed under the name Hevea brasiliensis (rubber tree). The record is from RNAcentral. Lineage: Eukaryota; Viridiplantae; Streptophyta; Magnoliopsida; Malpighiales; Euphorbiaceae.
UUUGUGAAAUGUUCAUGGUGAAUUUUGUAAAGAUGGCAUUCUUUUCUGGCCUAAUCAAGCAUGUUAUUAAUACAAUGCAGUAUUCAUCUAUACAAAAUUCACCAUGAACAUUUCACAAACCAUACACAACCAAAUUGAUUUCUCAAAGAUGUGCCUCAACAUUUGCUUUUUGCAUGGUAAAAGAAGAAAUAGAGCACUUGAUGAAACUGAGGAUUAGGAGAAAACAAAAAACAAGCAACAAACAUUCAGCUGUAAACCUUAGCACAAGUUGAACAUAUCAUGCCCUCAAUUUGAUGCUACUCUCUGGGAGAUUCCAAGUUUACUUUUAAUGUAAAAAAGAAUGCAGAUGACAGCCAUGAAUGCAUCUCUUAGUAUUCCACCAUUGGGCCAUCAUUUUCUCUUAGUUGGACAGCAAGCUCAAGUGGGCAAAACAAACUUUGCCCAAUCUCAUAACAGGAACAAAUCCAUUGUAGCAAGAACAAUUGUAGCUCGUUUCUACCCCAGCUCAGUCUAAUUACCAAACAACAUUCAGCAGAAAAAGCAAGACACCGCAUGAAAUAGCAACAUGUAAAUGAGCAACAGUCAAAGAACAUCAGAAGCCACUGCUGGAAGACAAACUGCCAGAUCUCUGGGUUCCUGUAGGGCCAUUGCUGGUUUUGCUAAUGAUCCCUUUUCCAAAAUACUCAGCAAUCACAGAAAAUCCAUCCUUAGAACUCUUCACUUGCUGAAAAAACUGAUCUUGAUCUUUAGAAUUAUGCUCCAGACUCCUCUUCAUCUCCAUAACAGACCUGUA